UCGAGGAUUUUUUGCAAUGCGCGCAAGCGUGACAGAGCGACGCCGCGUGGACGAUGAAGGCCUUCGGGUUGUAAAGUCCAAUCUCGGGGAAAGAAGAGCCGGAGGUUAACAGCCUGCCGGCUUGACGUUACUCCGGUUGAAGCGCCGGCUAAACUCGUGCCAGCAGCCGCGGUAAUACGAGUGGCGCAAGCGUUGUUCGGAUUCACUGGGCAUAAAGCGCGCGUAGGCGGUGCUGUAAGUCGGUUGUGAAAGCCCCCGGCUCAACCGGGGAAUCGCAGUCGAAACUGCAGUGCUAGAGUCUGGAAGGGGGGAGUGGAAUUCCUGGUGGAGCGGUGAAAUGCGUAGAUAUCAGGAGGAACGCCGGUGGCGAAGGCGACUCUCUGGUCCAGUACUGACGCUC
This 400-nucleotide ribosomal RNA is filed under the name uncultured bacterium. RNAcentral's name for it is "bacterial SSU rRNA". It matches the Rfam family "Bacterial small subunit ribosomal RNA", at positions 355 to 748 of the family's 1533-position model. The record is from RNAcentral.